UACGGGAGGCAGCAGUGGGGAAUUUUGGACAAUGGGGGCAACCCUGAUCCAGCCAUUCCGCGUGAGUGAAGAAGGCCUUCGGGUUGUAAAGCUCUUUCGCAAGGGAAGAAACGUUACGAGCGAAUAACUCGUGAUAAUGACGGUACCUUGAUAAGAAGCUCCGGCUAACUACGUGCCAGCAGCCGCGGUAAU
This 192-nucleotide ribosomal RNA is filed under the name uncultured bacterium. RNAcentral's name for it is "partial 16S ribosomal RNA". It matches the Rfam family "Bacterial small subunit ribosomal RNA", at positions 340 to 524 of the family's 1533-position model. The record is from RNAcentral.